This is a regulatory RNA element of Clostridium sp. CAG:7, 177 nucleotides long. It matches the Rfam family "Lysine riboswitch aptamer". From Rfam's summary of the family: Riboswitches are metabolite binding domains within certain messenger RNAs that serve as precision sensors for their corresponding targets. Allosteric rearrangement of mRNA structure is mediated by ligand binding, and this results in modulation of gene expression. This family includes riboswitches that sense lysine in a number of genes involved in lysine metabolism, including lysC. The record is from Rfam. Lineage: Bacteria; Bacillati; Bacillota; Clostridia; Eubacteriales; Clostridiaceae.
AAACAGAGUAGAGGUUGCGCUGAUCAAAAGUAACCGGCCGGAUGUGACAGGCACAGAAGAAGGUCUGGUGAAAGGGAAAAGCGCCGAAGAAAAGAGGAAACCUGAAAGAGUCUUUUCUGGGCACAGGGUUAAGAACUUUGUGACUGUCAUCCGGGUGGAUGGAGAGCUACCGAAAGA